RNAcentral lists this transfer RNA (72 nucleotides) under Puccinia sorghi. It matches the Rfam family "tRNA". From Rfam's summary of the family: Transfer RNA (tRNA) molecules are approximately 80 nucleotides in length. Their secondary structure includes four short double-helical elements and three loops (D, anti-codon, and T loops). Lineage: Eukaryota; Fungi; Basidiomycota; Pucciniomycetes; Pucciniales; Pucciniaceae. The record is from Rfam by way of RNAcentral.
GUGUACUUAGCUCAAUGGUUAGAGCAUCACUCAUGAAUGCUGAGGUUGUGGGUUUGAGUACCACCGUACACA